Non-coding RNA from Neolamprologus brichardi, 189 nucleotides. The record is from RefSeq and is a predicted model, not a curated record. Lineage: Eukaryota; Metazoa; Chordata; Actinopteri; Cichliformes; Cichlidae.
GCUUCCUCAGCCUCCUCUGAAGUCUCCGGACAGCCUCAAACAGCUGCAGGUUCAGAUAAGCUGCUUCAUGUGACUCUGAUUCUGGUCGCUAUGAUCACCAUCUUAUCAGCAGCUUUGCUGAUUUUCUACAAGAACAGGAAGAAUAAACCAAAAGGAUCUCCUAUGAAAACCGAACAUGCUGACAUCACA